AGUGAACGCUGGCGGUAGGCCUAACACAUGCAAGUCGAACGGCAGCACAGUAAGAGCUUGCUCUUACGGGUGGCGAGUGGCGGACGGGUGAGGAAUACAUCGGAAUCUACUUUUUCGUGGGGGAUAACGUAGGGAAACUUACGCUAAUACCGCAUACGACCUACGGGUGAAAGCAGGGGAUCUUCGGACCUUGCGCGAUUGAAUGAGCCGAUGUCGGAUUAGCUAGUUGGCGGGGUAAAGGCCCACCAAGGCGACGAUCCGUAGCUGGUCUGAGAGGAUGGUAGCCCGCCUGAGAGGUGGAACAGGGACCGGACCACGGGGGGAGGGACAAGGGGGAAAUGGGGGACAGGGGGGGGAACCUGGACACAACCGGACGGGGGGGGAGAAAGAGGCUUCGGGUUUGUAAGGCCUUUUGUUGGGGAAAAAAAAGAGGCGGGUGAAUACCCCGCUUUUGUGAGGGGACCGAAAAAAAAAGCACCGGCUAAUUUCGUG
RNAcentral lists this ribosomal RNA (492 nucleotides) under uncultured bacterium. RNAcentral describes it as "partial 16S ribosomal RNA". It matches the Rfam family "Bacterial small subunit ribosomal RNA", at positions 30 to 507 of the family's 1533-position model. The record is from RNAcentral.